UACGUAGGGCGCAAGCGUUGUCCGGAAUUAUUGGGCGUAAAGAGCUCGUAGGUGGUGUGUCGCGUCUGCCGUGAAAGCCCGGGGCUUAACUCCGGGUCUGCGGUGGAUACGGGCAGACUAGAGGCAGGUAGGGGAGAACGGAAUUCCCGGUGUAGCGGUGAGAUGCGCAGAUAUCAGGAGGAACACCGGUGGCGAAGGCGGGUCUCUGGGCAACAACUGACGCUGAGACGCGAAAGCGUGGGGAGCGAACAGG
RNAcentral lists this ribosomal RNA (253 nucleotides) under uncultured bacterium. RNAcentral's name for it is "partial 16S ribosomal RNA". It matches the Rfam family "Bacterial small subunit ribosomal RNA", at positions 524 to 776 of the family's 1533-position model. The record is from RNAcentral.